Molecule: ribosomal RNA, 1501 nt
Filed under: metagenome
Description: bacterial SSU rRNA
Rfam family: Bacterial small subunit ribosomal RNA
Source: RNAcentral
AGAGUUUGAUCAUGGCUCAGAUUGAACGCUGGCGGCAGGCCUAACACAUGCAAGUCGAACGGUAACAGGAAGAAGCUUGCUUCUUUGCUGACGAGUGGCGGACGGGUGAGUAAUGUCUGGGAAACUGCCUGAUGGAGGGGGAUAACUACUGGAAACGGUAGCUAAUACCGCAUAACGUCGCAAGACCAAAGAGGGGGACCUUCGGGCCUCUUGCCAUCGGAUGUGCCCAGAUGGGAUUAGCUAGUAGGUGGGGUAACGGCUCACCUAGGCGACGAUCCCUAGCUGGUCUGAGAGGAUGACCAGCCACACUGGAACUGAGACACGGUCCAGACUCCUACGGGAGGCAGCAGUGGGGAAUAUUGCACAAUGGGCGCAAGCCUGAUGCAGCCAUGCCGCGUGUAUGAAGAAGGCCUUCGGGUUGUAAAGUACUUUCAGCGGGGAGGAAGGGAGUAAAGUUAAUACCUUUGCUCAUUGACGUUACCCGCAGAAGAAGCACCGGCUAACUCCGUGCCAGCAGCCGCGGUAAUACGGAGGGUGCAAGCGUUAAUCGGAAUUACUGGGCGUAAAGCGCACGCAGGCGGUUUGUUAAGUCAGAUGUGAAAUCCCCGGGCUCAACCUGGGAACUGCAUCUGAUACUGGCAAGCUUGAGUCUCGUAGAGGGGGGUAGAAUUCCAGGUGUAGCGGUGAAAUGCGUAGAGAUCUGGAGGAAUACCGGUGGCGAAGGCGGCCCCCUGGACGAAGACUGACGCUCAGGUGCGAAAGCGUGGGGAGCAAAACAGGAUUAGAUACCCUGGUAGUCCACGCCGUAAACGAUGUCGACUUGGAGGUUGUGCCCUUGAGGCGUGGCUUCCGGAGCUAACGCGUUAAGUCGACCGCCUGGGGAGUACGGCCGCAAGGUUAAAACUCAAAUGAAUUGACGGGGGCCCGCACAAGCGGUGGAGCAUGUGGUUUAAUUCGAUGCAACGCGAAGAACCUUACCUGGUCUUGACAUCCACGGAAGUUUUCAGAGAUGAGAAUGUGCCUUCGGGAACCGUGAGACAGGUGCUGCAUGGCUGUCGUCAGCUCGUGUUGUGAAAUGUUGGGUUAAGUCCCGCAACGAGCGCAACCCUUAUCCUUUGUUGCCAGCGGUCCGGCCGGGAACUCAAAGGAGACUGCCAGUGAUAAACUGGAGGAAGGUGGGGAUGACGUCAAGUCAUCAUGGCCCUUACGACCAGGGCUACACACGUGCUACAAUGGCGCAUACAAAGAGAAGCGACCUCGCGAGAGCAAGCGGACCUCAUAAAGUGCGUCGUAGUCCGGAUUGGAGUCUGCAACUCGACUCCAUGAAGUCGGAAUCGCUAGUAAUCGUGGAUCAGAAUGCCACGGUGAAUACGUUCCCGGGCCUUGUACACACCGCCCGUCACACCAUGGGAGUGGGUUGCAAAAGAAGUAGGUAGCUUAACCUUCGGGAGGGCGCUUACCACUUUGUGAUUCAUGACUGGGGUGAAGUCGUAACAAGGUA